This 433-nucleotide ribosomal RNA is filed under the name uncultured bacterium. RNAcentral describes it as "partial 16S ribosomal RNA". It matches the Rfam family "Bacterial small subunit ribosomal RNA", at positions 29 to 507 of the family's 1533-position model. The record is from RNAcentral.
AACGAACGCUGGCGGCAUGCCUAACACAUGCAAGUCGAACGAGACCUUCGGGUCUAGUGGCGCACGGGUGCGUAACGCGUGGGAACCUGCCCUUAGGUUCGGAAUAACUCCCCGAAAGGGGUGCUAAUACCGGAUAAUGUCUUCGGACCAAAGAUUUAUCGCCUUUGGAUGGGCCCGCGUUGGAUUAGCUAGUUGGUAGGGUAAAAGCCUACCAAGGCGACGAUCCAUAGCUGGUCUGAGAGGAUGAUCAGCCACACUGGGACUGAGACACGGGCCAGACUCCUACGGGAGGCAGCAGUGGGGAAUAUUGGGCAAUGGGCGAAAGCCUGAUCCAGCAAUGCCGCGUGAGUGAUGAAGGCCUUAGGGUUGUAAAGCUCUUUUACCCGGGAUGAUAAUGACAGUACCGGGAGAAUAAGCUCCGGCUAACUCCGUG